GCCGGGGUGGCAGAACGGCUAAUGCGCCAGACUUGAGAUCUGGUGUCCGCAAAGGCGCGCCGCAGGGAUGCGGCCCACCGCGGAAGGACGUACAGGUUCGAAUCCUGUCCCCGGCG
RNAcentral lists this transfer RNA (116 nucleotides) under Candidatus Aenigmatarchaeota archaeon. RNAcentral describes it as "tRNA-Ser". It matches the Rfam family "tRNA". Rfam says of the family: Transfer RNA (tRNA) molecules are approximately 80 nucleotides in length. Their secondary structure includes four short double-helical elements and three loops (D, anti-codon, and T loops). Further hydrogen bonds mediate the characteristic L-shaped molecular structure. tRNAs have two regions of fundamental functional importance: the anti-codon, which is responsible for specific mRNA codon recognition, and the 3' end, to which the tRNAs corresponding amino acid is attached (by aminoacyl-tRNA synthetases). tRNAs cope with the degeneracy of the genetic code in two manners: having more than one tRNA (with a specific anti-codon) for a particular amino acid; and 'wobble' base-pairing, i.e. permitting non-standard base-pairing at the 3rd anti-codon position. Lineage: Archaea; Nanobdellati; Candidatus Aenigmatarchaeota. The record is from RNAcentral.